Myotis brandtii (Brandt's bat) is the source of this 5425-nucleotide long non-coding RNA. RefSeq lists it as uncharacterized. NCBI's taxonomy places the organism in Eukaryota, Metazoa, Chordata, Mammalia, Chiroptera, Vespertilionidae. The transcript is spliced from 2 exons. The record is from RefSeq and is a predicted model, not a curated record.
AGGCGACAGGGUAUUGGGCAGCCACAGGUCUGGUGGCUGUGCCUCAGGAGCACUGGUUUGGUUUUAAUCAGCCUCUUGGUCAGGAGGGGAGUGGAAGAAGCAACUGUACCUGAGGCCCUGCAGAGCAGAGGCCACCCGUUGUGGUCUAGGGACCUUGAUGCAGCGGUGAACUGAGAGCGGCUUUUAGGGGCCAACCUCGCAGUGUUUCCAAGUCUAAGCAAGAAACCAAAGACACCGAUUCAUUGCACAUUUCCAACUGGAAAUUAGUCUGGCUUGAAAAAUGGUUUGCCCAGCUGUGGUACAGCAGUCAGAACCCACGAGGCCCAACAGACUGGCCUGUAGUGGGCUUCCGGCGCCUGCUUGCAUUUGCACAACCAAGUCUCCACUGGAAAAGGGAAAAAGAAAGAGAGCAGAAAGAUGGAAUGUAAGCUGUAAGUUAUUAUCCUCUCCCUUUGUUUUGCACAAGUAUUUGUGUUCCAGUUUGGACUUCCUAGGUACAUAAGAUGCUGAAGUCACAUCUGGAAACUAUUCUUUAAGCUUUUAGGCUUGGUUUACGUUUCUCUCCAUUACCUGGUGGUGGUGUGGGCUUUUAAUACUUAUUAAAUAAGUACUGAAGUAGACUUACUUUACAGGAGAGAUGACCAGUGUCUGGAGAGGCAGGAAAAUAAACUCCAGUGGUUGGGUGCUGGUAGCAAAUUCACAUUAACCUCUCUGUUUGACAUUGGAAACUGGUUCGUGUAUCUGAAUCCACUGCAGAGUAUUGUGUCCAGGGUUUUACACCAUUAAUUCAGAAACCUGACCUGGAAAUACAUUCUGGAAAACCAGAAAACCCAUUUGGUUGAGUGGAACAGCCAGGUGGGUUAGUAAGGAUGGUUUACAGAAGGUGUGGAUGUGCCAGGGGAAAACUGAAGGACUGAGGCUGUAAGUAGAAGAGCAUAUCCUAGGGGGUUGGAGGAAUGAACACUGGUCUAGUACAGGGUAGAUAUGAAGAUACUGUGCAGGAGGUGGGGGAGGCUGGAAACUCUGGGUGGGAACAAGUCCUGAUAAUGAAGUAAAAUAUUCUGGUCACAUAGAAAUAUUUCUGUAAUAAGUUUUGGGGAAAAAUUAAAGAUAUCUGGCAUGCUCUAAAAUGUGGCCCAAGAGUAGAGAUACUUUUCCAUGUAGACAGGUUGGCACAUCCAAUGCUGCGCUACUUGCGGAAGACGUGGGCAGAGCCUUGGGGGAAGCCCUGAGGCUGGCGUCACGGUGUCUGGCCUGAUGGCCCAGGCCGGCGAAGGCCAGUCAGGGGUUCCUGGAACAUCAGAACAUUAACCUCCACUCAUAUUUAGGGUCUGGGGUUCAGUUCAGAUGAAGUGAGUUUUGUGGUAUAAAGUAUAUGAGAGCAAGGAGAUAUUUAAAAUUGAUUUUUCAAAACAGCCAAGGAAAUGUUCUUAAAUUUUUAAACAAAGAAAUUUCAAGUUGAGUUUAGCUCAAAUACAAUUUGGGGGGAGGGGGAAAAUGAUAAUUUCGUAGCCAAGAAGUUGUCAGCCAUGAUGCCAGAGUAACCAAUUAGUGGUGGGAUUUUCUUUAUCAAUGGAUUCUUUCUUCUCCUGGUAUUUAGAGGAAUUAUAAAAUUGUCCCCAUUUCUCUUAGUAUUACAGAGGUGGGCAAAAGUAGUUUUAUAUUGUUAUACAAAUAACAAUAAUUAAUAACUGAAGAAUAAACUCUGUUUCAUGUACUCACAAACUGUAAACCCACUUUUGCCCACCCUUUACUCUGGAAAAUGCUUUGCUGUUUUGGGGCUGGCACUGUGUCUGUCACCUGGAGAGAGGAUGUGUUCAGUGUGUCCAGGGGCCCUCAGGAUGCCUCCUCCAUAGCAAGUGGCUGUCAUUGUGGUAACGUGGUUGUCAGGAGGGCGUCCCAUUAGGAACAGUCUGGAAGCAGGGUAUGCGAGUACUCCAUUGCCUGUCCCAUCUGGCAGCCCCUGGUGCCCGACUGCGCCUGGUUUCAGAGGUCUCUGCAUCAGAUCAGCUUGGUUGCAGUGGUGUGUGGGCUGGUUUCCAGACCCGUGUGGGGUUUGUGAUGCAUUCUGAACCAGACCAGUGUGUCUAGGUUGCUUUCAUGAGGGAAGGGCUGCCCCCGCAGGGGUGAGGCAUGUCACUGGUGUGAUGUUAAAUGUCCACAGCAUCCCCUGCAGUUCUCAUUUAAGGGCAGUACAAUGUAAUUGCUAACUACCUGCCCUGUGUUUACUGAACUGGCAGGCAUGCUUGCGAUGUUUAUGAAACAGCUUACUGUCGGAAGGCUACUACUGAAUAUGCCCCUUCCAGUCCUCGGCCCAGGCCAGUGUAAUUCGUGGCUUUGUAGUACUGGCUCUUCCUGGAAACAGCAGUCCUCUGGUAGCUGAUGCCAUAUUAGCUUUAAGUGCUAAGUAGAUAUUCUCAGGCCCCUUCCUGCUGCUGCCAUCAUUCUAUAAAUCACACAACAUCAAUUCCCCACCAAAUAACAGCUUAAAAUAGAACACUGUCAAGCCAGUUUACACUCCAUCCUUAAAUCACAUCAUUGAGGAAAUAUUUAGAGAGAAUGGAGUCGACUUUUUGUUUUUUUGUUUGAAUGACCAUCAUAAACCUAAUGCUUUUUAAAGAAAGAGCGCCUGGAAGACGAAGCCUUGUUUUCAGGAUAAUUCUGCCUCAGUAAAUCCUCUCCACGUCCCAGCAUUUAUUGGGCCAUUACUUGUUCUGAGGACUGAUUACCCAGGCAGCUCAUUAACUGGAUAAACGGGCUUUAGUGAAAGAGUUUCGGUGAAGUCCUGUAGGGAGCACAGGCACGCGGUGGGAGGAAGCUUCAGUUCUGCAGCUUCUGCACUUGGGAUCUGAAAUGAAGAAAGAUUUUAGGCAGGACUGACCCUUCCUGUCCUGUUGGGUCAUUGUGAGUUUUGUUCCUGUUUUACAUGUGAGCUGACCUAACUCGCUGUCACUCACAAGUAGCAAGGCUGCUCGUAGGUUCUGCCAGCACGAGUUCAGUAUGUCCUUUAGGCACCUCUGGGGGCACUUAGGUUUCCUAUGUCAUUGCAGAGCCUGACAAGAGUGAUGGAAGCUCUUAGGCCAAAUUAUAAAUUUCGUGGAGCUGAGACUGCAGAAGUCUGUGCUGUUUAGCGCAUCAGCUGACUUUUCACUGGCACAAGUCUACACAAGGCCCACCUAUAACUAGCCCUUUUUUGCCCUGGAGACAUUUAAAAGAGGGAAUUUGGUACUGACAAUGUUACUUAAUUGAUUUCUGCUAAGUUGUUUGAUGAAGGCAGGCAGUGAGAUUGGAUUUUAGUCAGAUGCGUUGCACUUCACAAUCGGGGGUCAGCUCUCUUCUUUAACAAUCCCCGGGUGCAUUUGUCUCCAAUCUGCUGAAGAAGCAUGGCGGCCGUUUCCACGCGGCUUCUGUAAUAAGGAACAUGGCCUUUCAGAGAGAUUUAGUGUUCUUUUCCAAAAUAGUCACCAUGCGGAAUCCUUGAAUGAUGCAGCUAAAUGCAACAGAAAUGAAAAACACAACAAAUUGUGGGUGGUGGCCAUAAGCUGUACAUUGAAUUAACCAGCUAACUCAAAGCCCCAGGAGGAUGUGUUACUUUCAAAAAUUUCAUGGCCUUCUUCCAACCUUCUUAUUGUAAAGGUUAGCAAUAAUUACAAAAAAGAUGGGCAGUGUGUGAAGCUCAGGUAACACAUCCUUAACUUGGCAUAAAUAAUGAUCAACAUGCUUUUUCCUGGGCUACCUGCACCUUGACAGGUAGGAACAGUUCACCGUGAUGCACAGGCCUGCAGACAGGAAGCUCCUUCCUAGACGAAGAGAUCCAACAAAGUGGGCACCAACUUCUCAUACAAAGGGGCCCCCCAACAAAUUCAUUUCAUUUUAUAAAUUAAUGAACUUUUACUAAGUACUUAUUCUGUGCCAAGAAGCACGGUGAGUCCUGAGGCUGACAUUCCUCCCCUCCCACCAUAACCAACCAAGCAACCUCCUCAAGCAACACAACACAUAGCCUGCACCUGGCCAGGCUGACCUGGGGGACAGCCUGUUUCUAACACAUUCCCCUCCCAGCUUACAGGUGUGCGGAUUCCAAAGACAGAUGGCAAUGGCUUCACCUAUGGUGCCACAGGUGAAGCCAUUGCCAUCUGUCAUUGGAAUCCGACAGCUUAUACAUUUUAAUGAGAUUUGCCCCUAAAUAGCAAACAAACAGACUAAAUCAUACCCUUGCAAAGAAGUACUGUAUUUAACAUUGUAUUUCUCUGAGGCCUAUUAUGAGCAGAGCCAGAUUUGGUGGAUUUCUUAGGGUACGUGAACAUAUCUUCCAAAUAUCUAGUCAGGUUCCAAGUAAGGUAUCUGAGCUGUGGUUGGAUUUUUCUUUUUCUCAUAAGCAGUUAUAACCACACAACAGUCUGAUUUUUAGGGUUUCAGUACCGCAGCAGCCAUCAGAGUUGGACCACAGUCAGCUUGGUGAAGCUCUGGGAAUGGCCAGUCCAUAAUACAGCGUGCACUUGACAUAACAGUUUAAGCCAGCCCUUGAUUUCCAAUGGUUUGAAAAGCUCCUCCAGUGCAUUCUGUAAAGUUUGAUGACUAAGAAGCCAGACCUUUGUAAAAUAAUGAUCCUGCCAGAUUCCAACCUCACACUGCCCUUGCCUGUUUGUAAUUAAUUCCGAGACUUGUGUGGUGAGAGAGAAUGGACUUGCCUUUCUCUCUUGAAAAGAAAAGAGGUUCAGUGGUAAUACUUUACUUUUAGGCCCAGUGGUUGUCAGUAUUGGGACAGAAUGUGGGGCACAUGGCUUCCUGGGUGGUAUAACAUAUUCUAAUUCUAAAUCAGCCAGAGGGACGCUUCUUUCAUUACCUAGUUAGGAAGUCCUGCGUCUGUGACAUUCACUGCUAAACUGGUGAUGAGGGAAGGUCCACUUUUCUCCAGUUGCCACUGGAGCACCAUUCAUGCUGGCAAUGUUUAUACUUUUCUUCGUAGGCUAAAGAAUUCAGUGUAAAAGUAGGGCUUCCAAAAUGUUCCCUCUCUCAUUUAUGUCACAAUUUGACAUGUGCUUUUAAAAACCACCACUUACAAAACUGGUCUUUAAGCAUUGUGAGUCAGAGGUAAAAAGGCAAUAAAAUGGAUAAAGGGGCGUCCCAGUGCGAUGGACAGAAAUAGUAUUACUGUCAUGAGAACAGCGGCAAAGGCACCCGACUUCACGGAGAUGCUGUUAACGGCACCACAAUUACCAUUAAAGGUCAAAAUUUUGAUUUGUCAGUUUAUAAUCUUAUUCUUUCCAGGCAAAACAGAUCAAUUUAAUGUUACAACUUAUUUCUCUUUUUAUCUCUUUUGGCCUGAGGGGGCAGGGGAAUUGUCAACUGCGCAAUCUUUAAAGUGUAUGUUAAUUUUUAAUGUGGUAUUUCAGUACAUAUUUUAUUCAUUAAAUUUAUUUGAAAA